RNAcentral lists this ribosomal RNA (468 nucleotides) under uncultured bacterium. RNAcentral describes it as "partial 16S ribosomal RNA". It matches the Rfam family "Bacterial small subunit ribosomal RNA", at positions 28 to 507 of the family's 1533-position model. The record is from RNAcentral.
GACGAACGCUGGCGGCGUGCUUAACACAUGCAAGUCGAACGGAAAGGCCCUGCUUUUUUUGGGUGCUCGAGUGGCGAACGGGUGAGUAACACGUGAGUAACCUGCCCUUGACUUUGGGAUAACUUCAGGAAACUGGGGCUAAUACCGGAUAGCAGCUCCUGCUGCAUGGUGGGGGUUGGAAAGUUUCGGCGGUUGGGGGUGGACUGGGGGCUUAGCGGCUUGUUGGGGGGGGAGUGGGUUACCAAGGCGUUGACGGGUAGCGGGCCUGAGAGGGGGAACGGCCACAUGGGGACUGCGAUAAGGGCCAGAAGCAGAAGGGAGGCAGGGGUGGGGAAUAUUGCACAAUGGGAGGAAGGCUGAGGGAGCAACGCCGGGUGCGGGAUGACGGCCUUCGGGUUUUAAGCCGCUUUCGCCUGUGACGAAGCGUGAGUGACGGUAACGGGUAAAGAAGCACCGGCUAACUACGUG